UACAGAGGUCUCAAGCGUUGUUCGGAUUCAUUGGGCGUAAAGGGUGCGUAGGUGGCGCCGUAAGUCGGGUGUGAAAUUUCGGAGCUCAACUCCGUAACUGCAUUCGAUACUGCGGUGCUUGAGGACUGGAGAGGAGACUGGAAUUCAUGGUGUAGCAGUGAAAUGCGUAGAGAUCAUGAGGAAGACCAGUGGCGAAGGCGGGUCUCUGGACAGUUCCUGACACUGAGGCACGAAGGCCAGGGGAGCAAACGGG
This 253-nucleotide ribosomal RNA is filed under the name uncultured bacterium. RNAcentral's name for it is "partial 16S ribosomal RNA". It matches the Rfam family "Bacterial small subunit ribosomal RNA", at positions 524 to 776 of the family's 1533-position model. The record is from RNAcentral.